GCUUCGGAAUCUGCCCAGUAGUGGGGAAUAACCAGCCGAAAGGUUGGCUAAUACCGCAUACGUCCUACGGGAGAAAGCGGGGGACCGCAAGGCCUCGCGCUAUUGGAUGAGCCGAAGUCGGAUUAGCUAGUUGGCUGGGUAACGGCCUACCAAGGCGACGAUCCGUAGCUGGUCUGAGAGGACGACCAGCCACACUGGGACUGAGACACGGCCCAGACUCCUACGGGAGGCAGCAGUGGGGAAUAUUGGACAAUGGGGGAAACCCUGAUCCAGCGACGCCGCGUGUGUGAAGAAGGCCUGCGGGUUGUAAAGCACUUUUAGUGGGGAUGAAAAGCCCAGGGAUAACACCUCUGGGUCUUGACCUAACCCACAGAAAAAGCACCGGCUAACUCUGUGCCAGCAGCCGCGGUAAUACAGAGGGUGCGAGCGUUAAUCGGAAUUACUGGGCGUAGAGCGUGCGUAGACGGUUUCGUAAGUCGGGUGUGAAAGCCCCGGGCUCAACCUGGGAAUUGCAUUCGAGACUGCGGAGCUAGGGUGCGGAAGAGGGAAGCGGAAUUUCCGGUGUAGCGGUGAAAUGCGUAGAUAUCGGAAGGAACAUCAGUGGCGAAAGCGGCUUCCUGGUCCAGCACCGACGUUCAGGCACGAAAGCGUGGGGAGC
This 658-nucleotide ribosomal RNA is filed under the name uncultured Gammaproteobacteria bacterium. RNAcentral describes it as "bacterial SSU rRNA". It matches the Rfam family "Bacterial small subunit ribosomal RNA", at positions 115 to 769 of the family's 1533-position model. Lineage: Bacteria; Pseudomonadati; Pseudomonadota; Gammaproteobacteria. The record is from RNAcentral.